This 687-nucleotide ribosomal RNA is filed under the name Triticum aestivum (bread wheat). Its description in RNAcentral is "partial small subunit ribosomal RNA". The record is from RNAcentral. Lineage: Eukaryota; Viridiplantae; Streptophyta; Magnoliopsida; Poales; Poaceae.
AUGAGUAAUGAUGUAAUCUCUAUCUGCUCCUGGAAUGUAUGUAGUCUGGGUGAUGAUGAUAAGUGUAACGCUGUCCUCUCUGAACUUUUAGCGAUCAACCCCCACGUUGCUCUCUUACAGGAAUCCAAACUAGAAUCCUACACCGACGCCAAGCUCCGCUCCUUUCUCCCCUUCCACCUCGACCAAGCCUUUCCUCUGCCCGCCAUUGGCACGGCCGGCGGUACCAUCACUGUCGUUAACUCCUCCUCUCUCCAGGUCAUCUCGCACUCGCACAAAAUUUUCUCCUCCGUCGUAACUCUAAGAUCAACUGCAUGUGCCCCCAACAUCAUCAUCACCAACAUCUACGCUCCCUCUACACGUGCCCUCAAACAAACUUUCUUCGACGAGCUCCGCUCCAUCGCGCAACCUGACCACGCUCCUUGACUUGUCCUUGGCGAUUUCAACCUCCUUUGCUUUCCCUCAGACAAAAACAACUCCUCCUUUCGACAGUCAGAAGCGAACGCUUUUAACCACGUUAUCGACACCUUAGCUCUCAUCGAACUGCCUCUCCUCGACCGACAAUUUACGUGGACCAACAACCGCUCCUCGCCCACUCUGGAAAGAAUCAAUCGUGCCUUUUUUAACCUAGCGUGGGCAUGCUUUCCCAACACCUCACUGUCCUCUCUCACACGUUUCACCUCUGACCAC